Molecule: ribosomal RNA, 123 nt
Filed under: Haemaphysalis longicornis (longhorned tick)
Lineage: Eukaryota; Metazoa; Arthropoda; Arachnida; Ixodida; Ixodidae
Source: RNAcentral
GCCAUCGGCCAUACCAUGCUGAAUACGCCGGUUCUCGGCCGAUCACCGAAGCUAAGCAGCAUUGGGCUCGGUCAUGUACUUGGGAAAGAGAAAGCGGAGUGGGUACGUUUAGAACCGACGAUU